RNAcentral lists this ribosomal RNA (498 nucleotides) under uncultured bacterium. RNAcentral describes it as "partial 16S ribosomal RNA". It matches the Rfam family "Bacterial small subunit ribosomal RNA", at positions 28 to 523 of the family's 1533-position model. The record is from RNAcentral.
GAUGAACGCUAGCGGCAGGCCUAAUACAUGCAAGUCGGACGGGAUUGGGGAGCUUGCUCCCCAUGAGAGUGGCGCACGGGUGCGUAACACGUAUGUAACCUACCCUUGUCAGGGGGAUAGCCUCUCGAAAGAGAGAUUAACACCGCAUAACAUUAUUGGAUGGCAUCAUUUAAUAAUCAAAUAUUUAUAGUACAAGGAUGGGCAUGCGGGACAUUAGCUAGUUGGUAGGGUAACGGCUUACCAAGGCUACGAUGUCUAGGGGAUCUGAAAGGAUGGCCCCCCACACUGGUACUGAGACACGGACCAGACUCCUACGGGAGGCAGCAGUAAGGAAUAUUGGUCAAUGGGCGCAAGCCUGAACCAGCCAUGCCGCGUGCAGGAAGACGGCCCUACGGGUUGUAAACUGCUUUUGCGCCGGAAUAAACCCUUUUACGAGUAAGAGGCUGAAUGUACGGCGAGAAUAAGGAUCGGCUAACUCCGUGCCAGCCGCCGCGGUAA